UAUAGGUACUUGACUCUUCGUCUUAUUUAAAAAAAAUUGUGAUUAAUGUUUUUAUUGUUAAUAGAUGGUAAAAUAUGAAUAAUACUUUAUACGUGACUAAUUUUUUAAAGUUUUUAUACAAAUUUUUCAAAUAAGACAAAUGGUCAAACGCUUAGACACGAAAAUCGA
Molecule: microRNA precursor, 168 nt
Filed under: Oryza brachyantha (malo sina)
Lineage: Eukaryota; Viridiplantae; Streptophyta; Magnoliopsida; Poales; Poaceae
Description: MIR812 microRNA precursor family
Rfam family: MIR812 microRNA precursor family
Source: Rfam by way of RNAcentral